CGGAGGUGGCGAGCGUUGUCCGAAGUUACUGGGCGUAAAGCGCGCGUAGGCGGGUUGUUAAGUGAGGGGUGAAAGGCUGAGGCUCAACCUCAUGUUUUGUCCUCUCAUACUGGCAGUCUUGAGUGAGGCAGGGAGAAGUGGAAUGGCUGGUGUAGCGGUGAAAUGCGUAGAUAUCAGUCGGAACACCGGUGGCGAAGGCGGCUUCUUGGGCCUUUACUGACGCUGAGGCGCGAAAGCUGGGGGAGCGAACGGGAUUAGAUACCCCGGUAGUCCCAGCCGUAAACGAUGGACACUAGGUGUCGGGGGUAUCGACCCCUCCGGUGCCGCAGCUAACGCAUUAAGUGUCCCGCCUGGGGAGUACGGCCGCAAGGUUG
Molecule: ribosomal RNA, 374 nt
Filed under: uncultured organism
Description: bacterial SSU rRNA
Rfam family: Bacterial small subunit ribosomal RNA
Source: RNAcentral